UACCUGGUGUUUUUGAGUUGUGUUUUUUUGCAGUUCAUCAUAUCGUCCCUGAGUCUGUCUUGCCAAUUCGUCCUCCCUGGUGGACAGAGACGCUCACACUGAUCAGUAACGCACAUUUAAA
Molecule: long non-coding RNA, 121 nt
Organism: Thalassophryne amazonica
Lineage: Eukaryota; Metazoa; Chordata; Actinopteri; Batrachoidiformes; Batrachoididae
Exons: 3
Source: RefSeq, a predicted model, not a curated record